Molecule: ribosomal RNA, 481 nt
Filed under: uncultured bacterium
Lineage: Bacteria
Description: partial 16S ribosomal RNA
Rfam family: Bacterial small subunit ribosomal RNA
Source: RNAcentral
GACGAACGCUGGCGGCGUGCUUAACACAUGCAAGUCGAGCGGUAAGGCUCCUUCGGGAGUACACGAGCGGCGAACGGGUGAGUAACACGUGAGCAAUCUGCCCUUCACACGGGGAUAACCCUUGGAAACGAGAGCUAAUACCCGAUACGACCACUUCAGGCAUCUGAUGGUGGUGGAAAGUUCCGGCGGUGAAGGAUGAGCUCGCGGCCUAUCAGCUUGUUGGUGGGGUAACGGCCCACCAAGGCAACGACGGGUAGCCGGCCUGAGAGGGUGACCGGCCACACUGGGACUGAGACACGGCCCAGACUCCUACGGGAGGCAGCAGUGGGGAAUAUUGGACAAUGGGCGAAAGCCUGAUCCAGCAACGCCGCGUGAGGGAUGACGGCCUUCGGGUUGUAAACCUCUUUCAGCAGGGACGAAGCGCAAGUGACGGUACCUGCAGAAGAAGCACCGGCCAACUACGUGCCAGCAGCCGCGGUAA